Molecule: unclassified non-coding RNA, 3842 nt
Filed under: Leishmania donovani
Lineage: Eukaryota; Euglenozoa; Kinetoplastea; Trypanosomatida; Trypanosomatidae
Description: gene:LdHU3.36.0630(CDS-product:hypothetical_prote in_conserved)
Source: RNAcentral
CGAAGCGACAACUUUGCAGCGGGGUCGCGUUUUGCCUGUGCGCGUCUCUCUCAAAGACGUCAUCCGCCACCUCUUGCACACACGCACAUACAUCACGCCUACAUUCACGCACAGAAACAGGCGGUAGCACGAGAAGGGAGGCAACAUAGCGACCCCACCCAUCCCUCUCCCUUUUAUCGGACUGCGCAUCACGCAGGCUCAUUCGCUUACUGCUCUCUUUUCUCCGCCUCUUCUUGUUUCUGUUUUCGGGUCAUCUCCGUGUACAUGUACGGUAAACUCUUCUAUCUCUAGAACCUUCCCUUGUGACAUUCCCCCACCCCUCCCUUCUUCUCCCCAUCACACCCCUCCCUCUCUGCUUUCUGCUGUGUGUACGUGUGCAUGGCUAUUGCGGACUCACACAAGACGUACACACCCACACAAGUAUAUAUACACACAAAUAUAUAUAUAUAUAUAUGUAUACGCGAGCAGCGGCAGACCCCUUCGCACAUCGAGGCUUUUGCUAGUGUUUGCUCGCUCGUGUGUGUGUGUGCGUUGCUGCCCGAGCGCGACGGCUUCUCUGUAUCUGGCUUCCUUUCUCCAUUUACUUCCCGUGCGCGCCCUGCAACGGAGCUCGCCCGUCUUAUCGUUUCCGGUUUCUCUGCUUUCCGGCAUCGCUACUGCCCCCCUCCCCCCGAAAGAGCACACGUGGUUUGCUUUCUCCCUUGUGCUUUCACUUUGAUCGCGUGACGGCGACAACGAAAGUGCGGCCGCGCUCUCGAAAGCGCAAGCGCGAUUAAUGAUUCCCGGAGGUGCGGGCAGCGGCUUAGAGCCUGUGCACCCCAGAAGUGGACUGGCACACCCGUACAUGGACUCCGUGCCCACUAGCAGCGUACCCGGAAUGUUCUCAUCUUAUACUGGCAGGCCGACAUUUAGCGCAGGCAUCGGGGAGGGCGGCAUCGCCGGCGGCGGCGGAGGUGCGCGAGCUGCUUCGGCAGAAAGCUCUCCCUCAGAGGGCGAGGCUUUCACCAAGGAGGAUCGGAUGCUGCUUCGGCUGCUCUACCACCAGCAGCAAGCCAUCCAGGUGCAGCUUAACACCAUGACGGAGUGGAUGCAGCAAGUGAACUAUCGCAUCGCAUCCCUCGAACGGCUCUCCCGCCACACGCGCCCCGUCACGGCUGUCGGGGCAACCUCUAGCCUUACCGCGAGCGCUGCACCGCCACCGUCCUGUAGCACCUCCGCGGCGGAGGGCUACGGCACCGUGGCAGGCCAACUCCAAGGAGCACCGCUCUACUCGUCUUCCCCGGCGCUUAGCGCGAGAGACGCACCUCGGCCGCAGACAGGCUCUGCGCCGGCGAGCGUCUACGGCGGGCAAGGCCUUCACCAGCGCGCUACCUCGAGUGCGCCGCCCUUGUCGAGCGUCCUGGAGAGUUCCCGUGCCUGCACCCCGCCAUCUGAGCAGACGAGGCACCAGACCGGCGGGGCUGGCGGUGGCAGCGCUGUACCGAGCACGACCCGCUCCUUCGAGUCCGCCAUGGCGCAGCCGUGGGACCCGCACAACACUUCUCUGCAAUCUGCUAGUGGUGCGGGGGUUCACAGCCGCACCUCCUCGCACACGAGCGCGCUGGGCCGUCGUGCGAACCCUCUUUUGAGCUCGUCCACCACCAUGAGCAAACUGCCCACGUCGACCUCGCGGCCGAACUGGGGUGACCCCAAGCAACUCUCACGGCUGGACGCAUCUGUACCGAGCGGCACGGCGCAAACAUCAUUAUCGAGCGGCCUAACCUCACUCGACACACAACAGCCACCGCCAUCCCAGCAGCAGCAGCAGAGCCGCCAGCCGCCCGUCGUCAGCCCACCUACCGCGGCAGCGGUCCCGUACGUAUCGUUUCCUCUGUACACGUCAGCCGACACCGUCGUUCCGCCGUACCGCCGGAUCCCGCCAGAGCCGACGACACGUCAGCCCCAUAGUCGAGCUGCAGGCGCGGUCACAGUAUCCGCCUCCACGGCCAGUCGCACACCUCCUGUCUUCAGUGGCACCGUGGACGCAUCACUCGCCGCGUCUGGCCGGGAGGGGACGCUGCCGCCGGCGCAGAGCAGCAGUAUGGUCACGAGCAGCAACCACAGCGACGCACGAGGGCGCGCCGCCACCGAGACUACGGCUGUGGAGGGGUCGCGGGAGGUCAGGGCCACUCACAGCGUCGCCGUCGUUAGCCGUGGAGACCUGCACGCGGCCACCGAUCUCGCAGGUGGGGUCGGCCGAGCUGCUCGCCGGCAUGAUGGGGGGACGCGCUUGCCCUCCGCGUCGAACGACGACUCGCUCAGCGAUGGCUAUGGCAGCUACGAGUCUCGAAUGUACAUGAAGAAUUUGGGGCUGUUGUGAAUCUUGGGCCACGAGGAGAAGGGGCGCGAUGCAUCUCAGUGAGGCGCUGUUCCAUCAUCUUGUGCGGGCUUUUCCUGUAUCCUUUUUGUCACCAUUUCAUGCCAAUGGACCAAAUCACCGGCGAGGUACUUUUCUCUUUCGCGUGCUGCCGUUUUUUUUUAUACCUUUCCUUCUCCCCUUUUGCUUGCUUUGCGUGCAUCCGUCAUUGGGGUGAUGGCCACCACGACGAUGCCGUGUACCACUACAAGGAUGGGUCUGUUCGGAUUUCUCACGAUGUGCGGGACCAUUUGUGUUUGCGUGCUCCCUUCGGCGGAGGAGAUGAAGCAUGGACUGCGUCGUCCAUGGUAGAUGCCCCCCUGCUCGUUCUCUCUUCGUUUCCCUUUUCUGUACGAUCCCCUCUCCUUUCCUUUGUGCACCAGGACGGCAGGGCGCUGCGGCUCCGUGUCGUGUUCUUGAGCACUUCGGCUCUGCAGUCGCUCGCAGGGGAGACGCGAAGGGAGUGCCACGCUCGAAAAGGCACAUAAGGAAGGGAUGCGGAGCCUUUCAAGGGGAGUUCACCAGUGUUUGCGCUUUUUCCUUCCGCUCUUCCUCAAUUCUUUUUCUUCCCUUCUCGUUACCUUCUUUAGAUCAAAUUGUGCAGGACUCUGAGCUGGGUAGCCCCUAGGGGACGCAAUCUGAGGUGGUGGAAGGCGGAGGGCUGAUCACAAUGACGAUUCUAUCUUCCUUUCGGUGGUUACAAGCAAGGUGAAGACCCGCUGGAGUGUGUUACGUGGAUGCGCCAUGCUGCCCUACUUGGUGGCCCCUCUGGGUAGCCCCUGUGUCGCCAUGCGCUAAGUUCAUGCAUGAAGAUCGAUGCCCCUCGCAAGUGCUCGCUGGCGCAUGGGUGACGAGCAUCGCCCCUCCCCCCCUUUUCUUCUUCCGCCCUGUUCCCUCCGUCUCUACCCCUUUUGGUGUUUGGUUCAGUCAGUACUGUCGUGCUUCGUUUUCUUCUUCGUUCGGUUUCAUGCACACACAUCUCAUUACAAGAGGAGCUCACCCCAUUUAUCCCCCGCAGCUGCGUGUUUUUGUUUUCUCCUCCUUCUCAGCAUGCUUAUCGGCAUUGCCACCACUACUGCGAGGUACACAAGGCCCUCUUACCCUUUUCUUCGGCUGCCGUUUUAUAGGCACAUCUCCUCCGCGGCACUCGCAGCGUCACACGUGCCUGUUUGCGUGUGCGCGUCCAUGUGUGUAAUGUACUAGAUUCCUCCAGCAAGCAUUCAGGAGCAACACCGAAAGAAACAAAAUAGAAGACGAGAGCCAAGCAUCCUUCGUUGUGACAGUCGACGUAGUCUACUCGUGAACCUACAGCAGCGGCGGUGAGGCGGUACACGCUGAGCUGCUAUCAUUUAUAGCACCGUGUGCAAGUCAUUUUUGUGAGGCAGGGGUGUGGUGUGUAUGUGUGUGUGUGGGGGGGAGGGAAGUGCGUGUGCCGACUUGAGUGUCG